CGGAGGGUGCAAGCGUUAUCCGGAUUCACUGGGUUUAAAGGGUGCGUAGGUGGGUUGGUAAGUCAGUGGUGAAAUCUCCGAGCUUAACUUGGAAACUGCCAUUGAUACUAUUAAUCUUGAAUAUUGUGGAGGUCAGCGGAAUAUGUCAUGUAGCGGUGAAAUGCUUAGAGAUGACAUAGAACACCAAUUGCGAAGGCAGCUGGCUACACAUAUAUUGACACUGAGGCACGAAAGCGUGGGGAUCAAACAGGAUUAGAUACCCUGGUAGUCCACGCCCUAAACUAUGGAUACUCGACAUACGCGAUACACUGUGUGUGUCUGAGCGAAAGCAUUAAGUAUCCCACCUGGGAAGUACGAUCGCAAGAUUG
Molecule: ribosomal RNA, 368 nt
Filed under: uncultured organism
Description: bacterial SSU rRNA
Rfam family: Bacterial small subunit ribosomal RNA
Source: RNAcentral